CGACCAGUCACACGGGCACUGAGACACGGGCCCGACUCCUACGGGAGGCAGCAGUAAGGAAUAUUGGUCAAUGGAGGCAACUCUGAACCAGCCAUGCCGCGUGGAGGAUGAAGGUCCUCUGGAUUGUAAACUUCUUUUAUAUGGGACGAAAAAAGGCUUUUCUAAGUCGUCUGACGGUACCAUAUGAAUAAGCACCGGCUAACUCCGUGCCAGCAGCCGCGGUAAUACGGAGGGUGCAAGCGUUAUCCGGAUUCACUGGGUUUAAAGGGUGCGUAGGUGGGUUGGUAAGUCAGUGGUGAAAUCCCCGAGCUUAACUUGGGAACUGCCAUUGAUACUAUCAGUCUUGAAUACCGUGGAGGUCGGCGGAAUAUGUCAUGUAGCGGUGAAAUGCUUAGAUAUGACAUAGAACACCAAUUGCGAAGGCAGCUGGUUACGCGGAUAUUGACACUGAGGCACGAAAGCGUGGGGAUCAAACAGGAUUAGAUACCCUGGUAGUCCACGCCCUAAACGAUGUCAACUAGGUGUUGGGUGGGUUAAACCAUUUAGUACCGUAGCUAACGCGUGAAGUUGACCGCCUGGGGAGUACGGCCGCAAGGUUAAAACUCAAGGAAUUGACGGGGACCCGCACAAGCGGUGGAUGAUGUGGAUUAAUUCGAUGCACGCGAAAACCUUACCUACCC
Molecule: ribosomal RNA, 680 nt
Filed under: uncultured bacterium
Lineage: Bacteria
Description: bacterial SSU rRNA
Rfam family: Bacterial small subunit ribosomal RNA
Source: RNAcentral